GGAAUAGCCACCCAGCUGAAGUUUGCAGAAGUUAACACAGUGAAGGAGUUUAAGCAUGCGUGGGAUAGGCAUAAGGCUAUCCUAACUAAGAUAAAGCCAGGGACUAAUGAAAGAAUUAAAAAAAUUAGGCAGAUUAGAUGGGCCCGAUGGUUGGUUCUUAUCUGCCGUCACAUUCGAUGUUUCUAUGUUUCUCCUUGGCUGAGAUCAUAAGAAUUGAUCUAAGCCAAUCCGAUGCUUUCCUAUGGGAAAGUAUUGGUUUGGCUGCAAUCGUCAAUUCUUUUGAUCUCAGCCAAGAAAGCUGGACAGUGGUGGAACCAAAUGCCACCCUAGCCAAUCAGCAUCUCCUUAUAGAGAUGGAAUGAAUCAAUGCAUUUCUAUACAGAAAGUUCUGCAUGGAGACGCUGAACAUCAG
This is a non-coding RNA of Pelobates cultripes (western spadefoot toad), 412 nucleotides long. Lineage: Eukaryota; Metazoa; Chordata; Amphibia; Anura; Pelobatidae. The record is from the annotation of a GenBank genome assembly.